RNAcentral lists this small RNA (66 nucleotides) under Pongo abelii (Sumatran orangutan). The record is from RNAcentral. Lineage: Eukaryota; Metazoa; Chordata; Mammalia; Primates; Hominidae.
UACAAAAAUUGACAUUUCCUUAUGCCUAGAUAUUUCACUAGGUCCUUAAAACCCACGUGAAUCUGU